Molecule: ribosomal RNA, 248 nt
Filed under: uncultured Lachnospiraceae bacterium
Lineage: Bacteria; Bacillati; Bacillota; Clostridia; Lachnospirales; Lachnospiraceae
Description: partial 16S ribosomal RNA
Rfam family: Bacterial small subunit ribosomal RNA
Source: RNAcentral
UACGUAGGGGGCAAGCGUUAUCCGGAAUUACUGGGUGUAAAGGGAGCGUAGACGGUAAAGCAAGUCUGGAGUGAAAGGCUGGGGCCCAACCCCGGGACUGCUCUGGAAACUGUAGAGCUAGAGUGCGGGAGGGGCAGGCGGAAUUCCUAGUGUAGCGGUGAAAUGCGUAGAUAUUAGGAGGAACACCGGCGGCGAAGGCGGCUUACUGGACUGUAACUGACGUUGAGGCUCGAAAGCGUGGGGAGCAA